Molecule: transfer RNA, 60 nt
Filed under: Anaka burmensis
Lineage: Eukaryota; Metazoa; Arthropoda; Insecta; Hemiptera; Cicadellidae
Description: tRNA-Gly
Source: RNAcentral
ACUUAAUUAAUAUAAUUAGUAUAUUAAGCUUCCAACUUAAAUGUUCAUUUGAAUUAAGUA